GGCUCAGGAUGAACGCUAGCGGCAGGCUUAACACAUGCAAGUCGAGGGGCAGCGGGGAGGAAAGCUUGCUUUCUCCGCCCGGCGACCGGCGCACGGGUGAGUAACACGUAUGCAACCUGCCCCUGUCAGGGGGACAACCCGCCGAAAGGCGGGCUAAACCCGCGUACAUGCCACCGGGGCAUCCCGGAGGCAGGAAAGGCUUCGGCCGGACAGGGAUGGGCAUGCGGCGCAUUAGGCAGUAGGCGGGGUAACGGCCCACCUAACCGACGAUGCGUAGGGGUUCUGAGAGGAAGGUCCCCCACACUGGUACUGAGACACGGACCAGACUCCUACGGGAGGCAGCAGUGAGGAAUAUUGGUCAAUGGUCGGGAGACUGAACCAGCCAAGCCGCGUGAGGGAGGAAGGUACAGAGUAUCGUAAACCUCUUUUGUCAGGGAACAAAGACUGGGACGCGUCCCCGGAUGAGUGUACCUGAAGAAAAAGCAUCGGCUAACUCCGUGCCAGCAGCCGCGGUAAUACGGAGGAUGCGAGCGUUAUCCGGAUUUAUUGGGUUUAAAGGGUGCGCAGGCGGUCUGUUAAGUCAGCGGUCAAAGCCCGGGGCUCAACCCCGGCCCGCCGUUGAAACUGGCAGUCUCGAGUUGGAGAGAAGUAUGCGGAAUGCGCGGUGUAGCGGUGAAAUGCAUAGAUAUCGCGCAGAACUCCGAUUGCGAAGGCAGCAUGCCGGCUCCACACUGACGCUGAGGCACGAAAGCGUGGGUAUCGAACAGGAUUAGAUCCCCUGGUAGUCUACGCAGUAAACGAUGAAUGCUGGCUGUCCGGGGGGACUGACCCCUGGGUGGCGAAGCGAAAGCGAUAAGCAUUCCACCUGGGGAGUACGCCGGCAACGGUGAAACUCAAAGGAAUUGACGGGGGCCCGCACAAGCGGAGGAACAUGUGGUUUAAUUCGAUGAUACGCGAGGAACCUUACCCGGGCUCAAACGGGGAGUGACUCAGGCAGAGACGCCUGUUUCCCACGGGACACUCCCCGAGGUGCUGCAUGGUUGUCGUCAGCUCGUGCCGUGAGGUGUCGGCUUAAGUGCCAUAACGAGCGCAACCCCCGCGUGCAGUUGCUAACAGAUAACGCUGAGGACUCUGCACGGACUGCCGGCGCAAGCCGCGAGGAAGGCGGGGAUGACGUCAAAUCAGCACGGCCCUUACGUCCGGGGCGACACACGUGUUACAAUGGGUGGUACAGCGGGAAGCCAGGCGGCGACGCCGAGCGGAACCCGAAAUCCACUCUCAGUUCGGAUCGGAGUCUGCAACCCGACUCCGUGAAGCUGGAUUCGCUAGUAAUCGCGCAUCAGCCAUGGCGCGGUGAAUACGUUCCCGGGCCUUGUACACACCGCCCGUCAAGCCAUGGGAGCCGAGGGCGCUUGAAGUGCGUCGCCGCGAGGCGCGCCCUAGAGCGAAAUCGGUGACUGGGGCUAAGUCGUAACAAGGUAGCCG
RNAcentral lists this ribosomal RNA (1485 nucleotides) under uncultured bacterium. Its description in RNAcentral is "16S ribosomal RNA". It matches the Rfam family "Bacterial small subunit ribosomal RNA". The record is from RNAcentral.